GAUCCUGGCUCAGGAUGAACGCUGGCGGCGUGCUUAACACAUGCAGGUCGAACGAAGCACUUUAAUUGAUUUCUUCGGAAUGAAGUUUUUGUGACUGAGUGGCGGACGGGUGAGUAACGCGUGGGUAACCUGCCUCAUACAGGGGGAUAACAGUUGGAAACGACUGCUAAUACCGCAUAAGCGCACGGGAUUGCAUGAUCCAGUGUGAAAAACUCCGGUGGUAUGAGAUGGACCCGCGU
RNAcentral lists this ribosomal RNA (239 nucleotides) under uncultured bacterium. RNAcentral describes it as "partial 16S ribosomal RNA". It matches the Rfam family "Bacterial small subunit ribosomal RNA", at positions 15 to 236 of the family's 1533-position model. The record is from RNAcentral.